UCAGUGGUAGCUUAGUGAUAGAGUUCUUGCCUUCCAUGAAGGAGACCCAGGUUCAACUCCCGGCCAAUGCA
This 71-nucleotide transfer RNA is filed under the name Loxodonta africana (African savanna elephant). It matches the Rfam family "tRNA". From Rfam's summary of the family: Transfer RNA (tRNA) molecules are approximately 80 nucleotides in length. Their secondary structure includes four short double-helical elements and three loops (D, anti-codon, and T loops). Further hydrogen bonds mediate the characteristic L-shaped molecular structure. tRNAs have two regions of fundamental functional importance: the anti-codon, which is responsible for specific mRNA codon recognition, and the 3' end, to which the tRNAs corresponding amino acid is attached (by aminoacyl-tRNA synthetases). tRNAs cope with the degeneracy of the genetic code in two manners: having more than one tRNA (with a specific anti-codon) for a particular amino acid; and 'wobble' base-pairing, i.e. permitting non-standard base-pairing at the 3rd anti-codon position. The record is from Rfam by way of RNAcentral. Lineage: Eukaryota; Metazoa; Chordata; Mammalia; Proboscidea; Elephantidae.